GGGGGGUAAGAUGUACGCAGUCCAUACCUCUACCUCUGAUGAAGUACAUCUACUAAAGUCUAAACUGAACUAAAUUCUCUCACCAUGAUCAAGCCUAACUCGAAAUCAUAAGAUACAACACACUACCCCAUAAUACUAGUCCAAACCACAUGAUUCAAUCUUUUAUGUGUCUUUUAGAGCUCACCCCCUAAGCACAACAUGCCUUACCACUUCAAUGACUAAAGCAUAUUGCAUUUCUCCACUCAUAUCUCAACAUAACAUUUAAGCCUAUAUUCAUAACCACAC
Molecule: long non-coding RNA, 285 nt
Filed under: Capsicum annuum
Lineage: Eukaryota; Viridiplantae; Streptophyta; Magnoliopsida; Solanales; Solanaceae
Description: long non-coding RNA (CANN_LNC016991)
Source: RNAcentral